RNAcentral lists this ribosomal RNA (256 nucleotides) under uncultured bacterium. Its description in RNAcentral is "partial 16S ribosomal RNA". It matches the Rfam family "Bacterial small subunit ribosomal RNA", at positions 524 to 776 of the family's 1533-position model. The record is from RNAcentral.
UACGUAGGGGGCAAGCGUUGUCCGGAUUUAUUGGGCGUAAAGAGCGUGUAGGCGGCUUGGUAGGUCCGCUGUGAAAACUCGAGGCUCAACCUCGAGAUGUCGGCGGAAACCACUUGGCUAGAGUCCGGAAGAGGAGAGUGGAAUUCCCCGGUGUAGCGGUGAAAUGCGCAGAUAUCGGGAAGAACACCUAUGGCGAAGGCAGCUCUCUGGGACGGUACUGACGCUGAGACGGCGAAAAGCGUGGGGAGCGAACAGG